This 248-nucleotide unclassified non-coding RNA is filed under the name Articulospora sp. Its description in RNAcentral is "partial internal transcribed spacer region". The stretch from base 1 to 46 matches the Rfam family "Eukaryotic small subunit ribosomal RNA", at positions 1786 to 1831 of the family's 1831-position model. Lineage: Eukaryota; Fungi; Ascomycota; Leotiomycetes; Helotiales; Discinellaceae. The record is from RNAcentral.
AAGUCGUAACAAGGUUUCCGUAGGUGAACCUGCGGAAGGAUCAUUACCGAAGUACGGGCCCUCUCGUAGGGCUAAACUUCCACCCUUUGUGAACUACACUUUGUUGCUUUGGCGAGACGCCCUCGUGGCCACCGGCUCCGGCUGGUGCGCGCUCGCCAGAGAAAACCCAAACCCAAACCAUAUUUAGUGAUUUGUCUGAAAACAAGUUUAAUUAUUUAAAACUUUCAACAACGGAUCUCUUGGCUCUG